RNAcentral lists this ribosomal RNA (241 nucleotides) under uncultured Lactobacillus sp. Its description in RNAcentral is "partial 16S ribosomal RNA". It matches the Rfam family "Bacterial small subunit ribosomal RNA", at positions 122 to 355 of the family's 1533-position model. The record is from RNAcentral. Lineage: Bacteria; Bacillati; Bacillota; Bacilli; Lactobacillales; Lactobacillaceae.
UAACCUGCCCAAGAGAUCGGGAUAACACCUGGAAACAGAUGCUAAUACCGGAUAACAACAGAUGAUGCCUAUCAACUGUUUAAAAGAUGGUUCUGCUAUCACUCUUGGAUGGACCUGCGGUGCAUUAGCUAGUUGGUAGGGUAACGGCCUACCAAGGCGAUGAUGCAUAGCCGAGUUGAGAGACUGAUCGGCCACAUUGGGACUGAGACACGGCCCAAACUCCGUACGGGAGGCAGCAGCC